Molecule: ribosomal RNA, 460 nt
Filed under: uncultured bacterium
Lineage: Bacteria
Description: partial 16S ribosomal RNA
Rfam family: Bacterial small subunit ribosomal RNA
Source: RNAcentral
CCUACGGGAGGCAGCAGUGAGGAAUAUUGGUCAAUGGCCGGAAGGCUGAACCAGCCAUGCCGCGUGAAGGUCAGUGCCCUAUGGGCGUUACACUUCUUUUGUGCGGGAGCAAUAAUGGUCACGUGUGGCCAGACGAGAGUACCGUACGAAUAAGCAUCGGCUAACUCCGUGCCAGCAGCCGCGGUAAUACGGGGGAUGCAAGCGUUAUCCGGAUGUAUUUGGUUUAAAGGGUGCGUAGGCUGGGAGGUAAGUCAGCGGUGAAAUGCCCCCGCUCAACGGGGUGAAGUGCCAUUGAUACUGCCUGGCUGGAAGGCGGAUGCCGUGGGAGGAAGGUGUGGUGUAGCGGGGAAAUGCAUAGAUAUCACACAGAACCCCGAUUGCGAAGGCAUCUCACGAAUCCGCGAUUGACGCUGAUGCACGAAAGCGUGGGUAUCAAACAGGAUUAGAUACCCUAGUAGUC